UCUGGUGGUUAUACCGGGGAGGUCACACCCGAUCCCAUUCCGAACUCGGAAGUUAAGCUCCCACGGGCCGAUGGUACUUGCCUCGCACGGGGCUGGAAGAGUAGGUUGCUGCCAGAU
This 117-nucleotide ribosomal RNA is filed under the name Deltaproteobacteria bacterium GWA2_45_12. The record is from RNAcentral. Lineage: Bacteria; Deltaproteobacteria.